AACUUUUUGAAUCCAUGGUGAGAUUUCGUCAGACACCAACCCACCAGGAUUAACCAGACUUCCAAGAUAAGUAAAGUU
RNAcentral lists this microRNA precursor (78 nucleotides) under Schistosoma mattheei. RNAcentral's name for it is "mir-3492 microRNA precursor family". It matches the Rfam family "mir-3492 microRNA precursor family". The record is from Rfam by way of RNAcentral. Lineage: Eukaryota; Metazoa; Platyhelminthes; Trematoda; Strigeidida; Schistosomatidae.